CCGCCAUUAUGUUGGUUUUUUUUUUGCAACCGGUGGUGCCUAAGAGCACCAUUGGAAGAAAUAGGACUUGGAAACAAGUUCUCACCGGUGGUACCUAAGGGUACCUUUGGUAAAAGCUUCGGGACUUGUUUUAGUAUUGAAUGACCGGUGGUGCCUAAGGGUACCUUUGGAAAAUCAAUCCUAAAAAAUAAUAAAUCUUCUAUUGGCGUGGUUGAUACAAAUGGCUACAGUGGCACUUGUUUGUUUCGCAGUUGACAACUUCCGUGUUUCCUGCGUCGUUCAAUUCUUUUUUGUAUUUCGAAUACCAAACUUUUUCUUUGACUAGAUUUUUGACGUUGUUCAGACCGUCGUUGUUGAGGUGAGUUUUAUCUAAUUUGAAAUGGCGUCUGCCAGAAGUGAAACUGCUGACUCUUCGAUAUUUCCACUCAGCUUUUUGUUUGAAUCUGGGAGAUAUUCUUUCUGCUCUUGCUUUGACGAUAUCGUUCGUUACACUCGCUAUCUCUCUAUUUUCGUCGCGUUCAGGAAUUCCAGGACAAAGACGCUGCUGUGGGUUCUCUGGCAGGCAAAACCAAAGCGACCUGCGGGUGGAAUAUAGUCGUAUAAAUGCCUGAUGCUAGCCCCAGGGAGCGACAAGAUGUUGAGGUUUUCGGCUUCUAGGAAUCUCGUUUGGGAAUCCGCAAGGAAUGGGUACUUUGUUGGCACUUCCUUGAAUAUAUGAAACCUCGAGUAUCCAGUCAUAAAAUUUUGUUUCUAAAAUCCUCCCAUUGGAGGCCUUCCACACAAGAUUUGAGACAUCAUUAUAUAAAACACACUAUUUAAUAAGUUUAUGGCCCUAUCCAGCUUGUGUACUGACCGUAACUAAACGAAAGGGCCCUUUUUGUAAUUUAACACGUUUUUUUUUUAAAAUAAAAUCAUUGUAAUACUUAAAAAUAUGCGAACUAAUAAGCUGCAGGUUUUCCAUUUGUUUUAGUUUCUAUGGAAAAAGAAUUUGAAUGUCAAGGAUACAAACUUUGUUGUUUGUCAGAUUUAGUCAGACAUUUUGAGUCAAGUGCUCGGAUGUGUUCUCCUACAUGUUUCCGUUUUGUAUUUCGGCUUUUAGAGCUCAAUUCUGUUACAACUGAAAAUAAUUCAGUCGAACUCGUAGGAUUGAUUGGAGAUCCAACGGAUGGAAACAAUUCAAAAGUGCAAGCUAAGUUUCGCUCAGAACUAUCUUCUGUUUUACUAAUAGACUGUCUCUAUGAAACUGUUGCACGAAUUGAGUCCAAUUACCAUGGAACCACUCUGCAAUUAGACCGCGAAGUUCAUUUUAAGAAAAUGUACGAAGUUAUAGCAGAAAUAUCCUCGACUUGAUUCUUCCCGGCGAAAUGCAUGACUGAUUGUUUUUUCUAAUUGACAUGAAUAGUCGAA
Symsagittifera roscoffensis is the source of this 1407-nucleotide long non-coding RNA. RefSeq lists it as uncharacterized. The transcript is spliced from 2 exons. NCBI's taxonomy places the organism in Eukaryota, Metazoa, Xenacoelomorpha, Acoela, Convolutidae. The record is from RefSeq and is a predicted model, not a curated record.